GAUGAACGCUGGCGGCGUGCCUAAUACAUGCAAGUCGAGCGAACAGACGAGGAGCUUGCUCCUCUGACGUUAGCGGCGGACGGGUGAGUAACACGUGGAUAACCUACCUAUAAGACUGGGAUAACUUCGGGAAACCGGAGCUAAUACCGGAUAAUAUAUUGAACCGCAUGGUUCAGUAGUGAAAGACGGUUUUGCUGUCACUUAUAGAUGGAUCCGCGCCGCAUUAGCUAGUUGGUAAGGUAACGGCUUACCAAGGCAACGAUGCGUAGCCGACCUGAGAGGGUGAUCGGCCACACUGGAACUGAGACACGGUCCAGACUCCUACGGGAGGCAGCAGUAGGGAAUCUUCCGCAAUGGGCGAAAGCUUGACGGAGCAACGCCGCGUGAGUGAUGAAGGUCUUCGGAUCGUAAAACUCUGUUAUUAGGGAAGAACAAAUGUGUAAGUAACUAUGCACGUCUUGACGGUACCUAAUCAGAAAGCCACGGCUAACUUCGUG
This 497-nucleotide ribosomal RNA is filed under the name uncultured bacterium. RNAcentral's name for it is "partial 16S ribosomal RNA". It matches the Rfam family "Bacterial small subunit ribosomal RNA", at positions 28 to 507 of the family's 1533-position model. The record is from RNAcentral.